This 695-nucleotide long non-coding RNA is filed under the name Prunus persica (peach). RNAcentral's name for it is "long non-coding RNA (PPER_LNC007094)". The record is from RNAcentral. Lineage: Eukaryota; Viridiplantae; Streptophyta; Magnoliopsida; Rosales; Rosaceae.
AUGCUUUAUUUUGUGUGUGGUGUGUUUGGAAUUAUGCUUUGUUUUGUGUGUUGUUUGCAAUAAAUUAAGGUUUGUUUUUAAUUAAACUUUGUUUUGAUGUGCAAAUGCUUUUAAUAAAUAGUUAUAUUAUUUAAUGCUUUCUUUAUUGAAUAAAAGGGAAACAAUACCACAAAUUAAUACAUAUGGCAAAUCUUUCAAUACAACCUAAUGGUUUUGAUCAUUUAACCAAUCUGUAUUGCUAGGUCCGUUGUCAUGAAAAAGUUUUCUUCUCAUCACAUCCCUUCGUUUAGCUUCCAAUAGGACUUUGUUUCAGGAGACAUAUGGCUCAUAUUCAUGGCCAUGAUUUUCAUCUCUCUGUCCUCCAUGUCUUAUUCUUGUGCCCGUUGCCUUUGAAUUGCAAAUGCUUCAUGUCGUGCCUUGUCCGUUUCUUCUCUUUUCAGGUCUCUUUCAAUUCUCAGUGGGCCAUUCUUAGCUAUUUGCUCCAAAAAUUGUGUACAUUCAUUGUUCGAAGUGCUCCCUCUAGGCCUUUGCCGCCCUUCUCCCAAUAGGUCUUGGCACAUGUGGGAGUGGUGAGUCUUGAUCCAUUGGGGAGUCCAAUGGCGAAUCCUGGAGUGGCGUCUCAUUCAACACACCGGCGGACUAGUGGAAAUAAUUUUGAAUAUCGAACAAUUCUUCACAACUUCCCAACAUUGGUG